UUUAUUUGCUUUGUAGGUGGUGCAGUAUUCUAGUCAAUUCUACUCAUUUUGAGGGCGGGCCUAAAAAUUCGCAUAAGGGCAUAUCGAUGAAGUUCCUUGUGCCAGCUUUUGACGCCCAGUCGGGGGUUGGUGCUGGGAGUAAGGAGGAUAGGGCAUCUUGCAAUGGCAUGCAAUGCAUGACCCUACUUCCGUGGAGGCCCAAGUUCGUAGAUUUUCUACGGCUUGGGGUGAAACCUGCAGUGUGGUACAUUUGUUGCUAUAUGCAGUGUAGCCUGCCUUGAGUGUAAUAGGGGGAAUAGGGUCAAAUCCCGAAAUAUGGGCCAAUAUGAAGGAUUAUUGCUGUAUGAAACCUAUUAUGCAAAAGAGGCUAAAAAUGAGUACGGUUGCUGGGGAAAUCUCCUAGACUGUUCUAUCAUGAAGCACAUUGGGGAUUGCAGUGUGGACUAAGUGGUAAUCCAGCCCUGCUGAUGGUAACACAGCAGGUACCGGGCUAAUGGGAAACCGCUGGAAUGGCGACAUUUCAGUGCCUGGUACGGGAAAUCCUGCUGGACCUAAGCCGCAAACUUUACUCAAUGUGUUGCCACCUAUACUACAUAAUAU
This 600-nucleotide small RNA is filed under the name Oxobacter pfennigii. Lineage: Bacteria; Bacillati; Bacillota; Clostridia; Eubacteriales; Clostridiaceae. The record is from RNAcentral.